Non-coding RNA from Pelodiscus sinensis (Chinese soft-shelled turtle), 583 nucleotides. The record is from RefSeq and is a predicted model, not a curated record. Lineage: Eukaryota; Metazoa; Chordata; Testudines; Trionychidae.
UUGUCACAGCCACCAAGUUAUUUGUCGCAAAACCACAGUGGGGUUACGUCAGUGGGACUUUAUGAACAUCUCAGGACCUGUCACAAGAUGUGGUGGUUCUAAGAGACCUGGCACCAUGAAGAUGAGGCAAAUGGAACUCCCCAAAACAAACACAACUAACAGGACUCGGUCGAAAAAGGUAUGCGGAGCACCCAUUGAAGUCAGUAGGACCUCAGCACCUCCGACAAUCAGUUAGCAUAGGUAGCGGUCUGCAAAAGUGGAGAUAGCCAGUUGGAAAAGGAGAGCCCUUCAAAUGCAGCCCUUCCCCACCCCACAAUGAGCCUCAUCAGGUCUUCCAUCUCAUGUCACAAGAAUGCUGUUACCUUUAUGAGAUGUAGACAUGACCUGAAAGGGCAGACUGCAGUGCCAAAAAGUCACAGAGCUUAUGUUACAGAAGAGGAGACUUUGGAGCCAAGGCAAACUUCAUCAAAUGUGACAUAUCAAGGUGAGUUUAUGCAAAAUAUGACCUCUUUUUUUCUUUGUUCCUUACCUCUAUUUGCAUGGUCUAUGGAGUUCAUGGACUUCCUUUCAGCUCCAAAACAAU